This 287-nucleotide long non-coding RNA is filed under the name Sus scrofa (pig). RNAcentral describes it as "lncRNA (ENSSSCG00035053437.1, ENSSSCG00040017623.1, ENSSSCG00050056604.1, ENSSSCG00065051482.1)". Lineage: Eukaryota; Metazoa; Chordata; Mammalia; Artiodactyla; Suidae. The record is from RNAcentral.
AUGCCGGCCAAUCUUAUAACUGCCAGAGCUGCAUCCUUUUCUGAGCACUUUCUGUGGAGACUGGAGGCUGUUCUGCCCUUAUACAGGCUGGAAAGUCUGAGGAAUAUCCCCCACCAUUAUGGAAAAUCAGGCCAGAGUGCUCUCAAAUGAUACCCACAGAGAUGCAACAAGAUGUUCAUUAUCUCAAAGCUUCCUGUACUGUCUUCAUCUUAGUCACAACUAAAGGUGAGCUAAGUAUUGACUGAAAAGGAGGGAAAUAAAUGUUAAUAUAUGCGUAUUUGUGUGCA